UACGUAUGGAGCAAGCGUUAUCCGGAUUUACUGGGUGUAAAGGGAGCGCAGGCGGCUUUGCAAGUCUGAUGUGAAAGGCCGGGGCUCAACCCCGGGACUGCAUUGGAAACUGUAAAGCUAGAGUGCCGGAGAGGUAAGCGGAAUUCCUAGUGUAGCGGUGAGAUGCGUAGAUAUUAGGAGGAACACCAGUGGCGAAGGCGGCUUACUGGACGGCAACUGACGCUGAGGCUCGAAAGCGUGGGGAGCAAACAGG
Molecule: ribosomal RNA, 253 nt
Filed under: uncultured bacterium
Lineage: Bacteria
Description: partial 16S ribosomal RNA
Rfam family: Bacterial small subunit ribosomal RNA
Source: RNAcentral